GACGAACGCUGGCGGCGUGCUUAACACAUGCAAGUCGAGCGGUAAGGCCCUUUCGGGGGUACACGAGCGGCGAACGGGUGAGUAACACGUGGGUGACCUGCCCUCAGCUCUGGGAUAAGCCUGGGAAACCGGGUCUAAUACCGGAUAUGACUCCAUGACGCAUGUUGUGGGGUGGAAAGCCUUGUGCGGCUGAGGAUGGGCCCGCGGCCUAUCAGCUUGUUGGUGGGGUGAUGGCCUACCAAGGCGACGACGGGUAGCCGGCCUGAGAGGGCGACCGGCCACACUGGGACUGAGACACGGCCCAGACUCCUACGGGAGGCAGCAGUGGGGAAUCUUGCGCAACGGGCGAAAGCCUGACGCAGCGACGCCGCGUGAGGGAUGACGGCCUCGGUUGUAAC
Molecule: ribosomal RNA, 398 nt
Filed under: uncultured bacterium
Lineage: Bacteria
Description: bacterial SSU rRNA
Rfam family: Bacterial small subunit ribosomal RNA
Source: RNAcentral